RNAcentral lists this ribosomal RNA (485 nucleotides) under uncultured bacterium. RNAcentral describes it as "bacterial SSU rRNA". It matches the Rfam family "Bacterial small subunit ribosomal RNA", at positions 30 to 507 of the family's 1533-position model. The record is from RNAcentral.
AUUGAACGCUGGCGGCAUGCUUUACACAUGCAAGUCGAACGGCAGCGCGGGGGCAACCCUGGCGGCGAGUGGCGAACGGGUGAGUAAUGCAUCGGAACGUAUCCUGUAAUGGGGGAUAACGUAGCGAAAGUUACGCUAAUACCGCAUACGCUCGAGAGAGGAAAGUGGGGGAUCGCAAGACCUCACGUUAUAGGAGCGGCCGAUGUCCGAUUAGCUAGUUGGUGGGGUAAAGGCCUACCAAGGCGACGAUCGGUAGCUGGUCUGAGAGGAUGAUCAGCCACACUGGGACUGAGACACGGCCCAGACUCCUACGGGAGGCAGCAGUGGGGAAUUUUGGACAAUGGGCGAAAGCCUGAUCCAGCCAUGCCGCGUGCGGGAAGAAGGCCUUCGGGUUGUAAACCGCUUUAGUCCGGGAAAAAGGGGUGCGAGGAUAAUACCCUUGUGCUUUGAUGGUACUGGAAGAAUAAGCACCGGCUAACUACGUG